GCUCCCUUCGUCUAGCGGUUAGGACGCCGGCCUCUCACGCCGGUAACAGGGGUUCGAUCCCCCUAGGGAGCGCCA
RNAcentral lists this transfer RNA (75 nucleotides) under Gammaproteobacteria bacterium. Its description in RNAcentral is "tRNA-Glu". It matches the Rfam family "tRNA". Rfam says of the family: Transfer RNA (tRNA) molecules are approximately 80 nucleotides in length. Their secondary structure includes four short double-helical elements and three loops (D, anti-codon, and T loops). Lineage: Bacteria; Pseudomonadati; Pseudomonadota; Gammaproteobacteria. RNAcentral also lists the same sequence under 4 other names. The record is from RNAcentral.